RNAcentral lists this ribosomal RNA (417 nucleotides) under Physoglenes sp. SP41. RNAcentral's name for it is "partial 16S ribosomal RNA". The record is from RNAcentral. Lineage: Eukaryota; Metazoa; Arthropoda; Arachnida; Araneae; Synotaxidae.
UGUUUAUAGAUUUUAUUAUAAAUAAAACCUGCUCCAUGUAAUAUAUAUAUAUUAAUAGCCGCAGGAAAUUUACUGUGCUAAGGUAGCAUAAUCAUUAGUCUUUUAAUUAAAGACCAGAAUGAACGGGAUAACAAUUCGUGUACUUUAUUUUAUUAAUAUUAAAAUUAAACUAAUUAUAAAAAUAUAAUUAUUAAAUAACUAGACGACAAGACCCUAUUAAACUUAACUUAAGUUAAGCUGGGGCAGCUAAUUAAUAAUUAUUUUAAUACUAAUUAUUACCUAAAUAUCCUUUCUAUUGAUAAACAAGUUACUAUAGGGAUAACAGCGUAAUUUUAUUCUAAAGCUCUUAUUAAAAAUAAAGAUUGCGACCUCGAUGUUGAAUAAUUUAACUUUUAACUGAAACAAGAUAUAAAGUAA